UAACCUGCCUUGGAGUGGGGAAUAACAGUUGGAAACAGCUGCUAAUACCGCAUAAUGCAGUUGAGUCGCAUGGCUCUGACUGCCAAAGAUUUAUCGCUCUGAGAUGGACUCGCGUCUGAUUAGCUAGUUGGUGGGGCAACGGCCCACCAAGGCGACGAUCAGUAGCCGGACUGAGAGGUUGGCCGGCCACAUUGGGACUGAGACACGGCCCAGACUCCUACGGAAGGCAGCAG
This 233-nucleotide ribosomal RNA is filed under the name uncultured bacterium. RNAcentral's name for it is "partial 16S ribosomal RNA". It matches the Rfam family "Bacterial small subunit ribosomal RNA", at positions 122 to 354 of the family's 1533-position model. The record is from RNAcentral.